Molecule: ribosomal RNA, 468 nt
Filed under: uncultured bacterium
Lineage: Bacteria
Description: partial 16S ribosomal RNA
Rfam family: Bacterial small subunit ribosomal RNA
Source: RNAcentral
GACGAACGCUGGCGGCGUGCUUAACACAUGCAAGUCGAACGGAAAGGCCCUGCUUUUGUGGGGUGCUCGAGUGGCUAACGGGUGAGUAACACGUGAGUAACCUGCCCUUGACUUUGGGAUAACUUCAGUAAACUGGGGCUAAUACCGGAUAGGAGCUCCUGCUGCAUGGUGGGGGUUGGAAAGUUUCGGCGGUUGGGGAUGGACUCGCGGCUUAUCAGCUUGUUGGUGGGGUAGUGGCUUACCAAGGCUUUGACGGGUAGCCGGCCUGAGAGGGUGACCGGCCACAUUGGGACUGAGAUACGGCCGAGACUCCUACGGGAGGCAGCAGUGGGGAAUAUUGCACAAUGGGCGGAAGACUGAUGCAGCAACGCAGCGUGCGGGAUGACGGCCUUCGGGUUGUAAACCGCUUUCGCCUGUGACGAAGCGUGAGUGACGGUAAUGGGUAAAGAAGCACCGGCUAAAUACGUG